CACGUAGGGGGCGAGCGUUGUCCGGAUUUAUUGGGCGUAAAGAGCGUGUAGGCGGCCAGGUAGGUCCGCUGUGAAAACUCGAGGCUCAACCUCGAGAUGUCGGCGGAAACCAUCUGGCUAGAGUCCGGAAGAGGAGAGUGGAAUUCCUGGUGUAGCGGUGAAAUGCGCAGAUAUCAGGAAGAACACCCGUGGCGAAGGCGGCUCUCUGGGACGGUACUGACGCUGAGACGCGAAAGCGUGGGGAGCGAACAGG
RNAcentral lists this ribosomal RNA (253 nucleotides) under uncultured bacterium. Its description in RNAcentral is "partial 16S ribosomal RNA". It matches the Rfam family "Bacterial small subunit ribosomal RNA", at positions 524 to 776 of the family's 1533-position model. The record is from RNAcentral.